AGCCCCUUAGUAUAGUGGUCAAGUAUACGUGGUUCUGGGCCAUGUGACCCAGGUUCGAAUCCUGGAGGGGCUA
Molecule: transfer RNA, 73 nt
Filed under: Candidatus Pacearchaeota archaeon
Lineage: Archaea; Nanobdellati
Description: tRNA-Gln
Rfam family: tRNA
About the family: Transfer RNA (tRNA) molecules are approximately 80 nucleotides in length. Their secondary structure includes four short double-helical elements and three loops (D, anti-codon, and T loops).
Source: RNAcentral